GGAGCCCGGAGCAGCACUGUGCCAGGGGGGAAUCGCCCAAGAAGGACAGGCUGGAGCUGGACCCAGUAUAACGGCUGCCAAGAGCUGCAUGGGGCUUGUGAAGAGCAAACCCAUGGACCUGGUACAGAUGUAGUCUCUUUACUUCACUUGUGUGUCUAUUCAAUAAACUGGAAUUUCAGGGUCACGUUCUGACUUCUCCUGUAUCACUGCAAACAAGAUGGUCAUAAAGAUCUUUCCAAGUUGAAAAAACAGAGAUUUCAGAGGAAAGGGCAGAAGAGCCAAUCUCUACACUCUAUCUUUUCAGAGCAUUGCCUGACACACUAGGAUUUUCUUUCGUAUGAUGUGCACUCCAUCAGUAAACUCUGUAGGAUGUCUAGAUCUGUAUAGACAAGCAUUGGCAGGGUCAGGGAUACACAGUAUUUCUGCUCUUUACUAAGUUUGGGAUAUGUAAAAAGCAAGUUGGAGAAGUUCAAUGCUUGCCCAUUUUUCAACUAAUGGUGAAUGAUCUGCUGGUAAAGGAAGAACAUUCAGUUCUGGAUCCAAGGUUGAUGAUGUUGACUAUCCCUCCAGAAGAUGACAACUCCUUCUCACAGACAUUUAUGCAUGCUCCUAAGUAAUUUGAUGUGCCACAUGUCGAAGGAAAUAAGAAAUGUCCUCACUCUACCCAAUUAAUUGGAUUUGGAAGUUUCCCAGUCUGAGCACUGAUGAAGAAGAACUGGUUUAUGGACAAGACUAGACUUCACUAGAUACAGUGGCAUAAAAUAAAUUGUUUAUUUUAUUGUACUCACUGUAGGCCUGGUCCUGCAAACACUUAAGCAUAAAAGUAACUUUAUGCAUGUGAAUAGCCCCGUAAAAAUCAGUGGGACUACUCCCAUGUAUAAAGUUACUCAUGUGCAUAAUUAGUUGCAGGAUUGGCAACUGUGGCCCUCAUCCUGUGACUUGUUGCACACCAGCCGA
Molecule: long non-coding RNA, 957 nt
Organism: Mauremys reevesii (Reeves's turtle)
Lineage: Eukaryota; Metazoa; Chordata; Testudines; Geoemydidae
Exons: 3
Source: RefSeq, a predicted model, not a curated record